GAUGAACGCUGGCGGCGUGCCUAAUACAUGCAAGUCGAGCGAACAGACGAGGAGCUUGCUCCUCUGACGUUAGCGGCGGACGGGUGAGUAACACGUGGAUAACCUACCUAUAAGACUGGGAUAACUUCGGGAAACCGGAGCUAAUACCGGAUAAUAUAUUGAACCACAUGGUUCAAUAGUGAAAGACGGUUUUGCUGUCACUUAUAGAUGGAUCCGCGCCGCAUUAGCUAGUUGGUAAGUUAACGGCUUACCAAGGCAACGAUGCGUAGCCGACCUGAGAGGGGGGUCGGCCACACUGGAACUGGAACAGGGACAAGACUCCUACGGGAGGCAGCAGUAGGGAAUCUUCCGCAAUGGGCGAAAGCCUUACGGAGCAACGCGGAGUCAGUGAUGAAGGUCUUGGGAUCGUAAAACUCUGUUAUUGGGGAUAAACAAAUGUGUAAGGAAAUGUGCACGUAUUGACGGUAACUAAUAAGAAAGCAACGGCUAACUACGUG
RNAcentral lists this ribosomal RNA (497 nucleotides) under uncultured bacterium. RNAcentral's name for it is "partial 16S ribosomal RNA". It matches the Rfam family "Bacterial small subunit ribosomal RNA", at positions 28 to 507 of the family's 1533-position model. The record is from RNAcentral.